GGGAAUGUGGCUUAGUGGUAGAGUGCUUGCCUAACAUGCAUGAAGCCCUGGGUUCAAUUCCUCAGUACCG
This 70-nucleotide transfer RNA is filed under the name Dipodomys ordii (Ord's kangaroo rat). It matches the Rfam family "tRNA". Rfam says of the family: Transfer RNA (tRNA) molecules are approximately 80 nucleotides in length. Their secondary structure includes four short double-helical elements and three loops (D, anti-codon, and T loops). Further hydrogen bonds mediate the characteristic L-shaped molecular structure. tRNAs have two regions of fundamental functional importance: the anti-codon, which is responsible for specific mRNA codon recognition, and the 3' end, to which the tRNAs corresponding amino acid is attached (by aminoacyl-tRNA synthetases). tRNAs cope with the degeneracy of the genetic code in two manners: having more than one tRNA (with a specific anti-codon) for a particular amino acid; and 'wobble' base-pairing, i.e. permitting non-standard base-pairing at the 3rd anti-codon position. Lineage: Eukaryota; Metazoa; Chordata; Mammalia; Rodentia; Heteromyidae. The record is from Rfam by way of RNAcentral.